GCCAGGCAGCAGCUGCAGGAGGCUCCCACGCGCACAGCUACCGCGCGCCUGCCUCCCAAGACCAGCGCAGCGCAGCAGCCGCAGCGGCUGAAGGAAUCCAUCGCCCGCCUGAAAGCUGACCUGGCCGCGAGAAAGGCGCGCAUCGAGCAGGUGCCCGACAUGCAUCACCAAUACUUCCACCAGCCAAGUUAUUCAUUAGGAUUUGUACUUCACGGUCUUCCAUGAACGAGGCCGCCGUCAAUGGUAAAGUACUAAAGAAAUACGGGGCCGUGGAUCUGAUGACCAGAAAAACGUGUUGGCCACUUCCAUUGCCUCUUUUAGGAGGUGCCAAUCUCCGGUGUAAGCAGAACACCGAUCUGGCAGUCAAGUGUACCACCGUCAAGUCUCUGCCUUGCACAAAUCUGGGAUAUCUGAACUGGUCCAAGAAAGCUAGUUUCAAGAGAGGGACCCUGUGUCAUGUGCAGCUGGAGGAGCAGAUCAGGGUGCAGGAGGAGGUGACAAAGGGGGCCGGCUAUGAACUGGCACAGCUCACCUUCAAGUGCGGCGACCUGGAGGCUCAGGUGGCAGCCACGCGCCAGGUGGUUUCCCCACCGUCCCUGACUUUCUUUCCUCAACAAAGACAAGCAUACGAAAUAGAGUCCAACAAGCCGUUUAUGCCAUGAACUGGUUUUCAGCCGGCCGAUGCAGAAGAAUUCUCUGCAUGCCACAAGCACGCCAUCUGCGUUACCUUUUCAAUUUUUAUGCCAUUUGUUUUAUGGGAGGCAGGCAGUCUUACUAAGUUCAGGAAUGAUGCGGACUGGAAGGGCGUCCACCUUGGACUUUGGACAUAAAAAGGUGUAAGCCUCAGGUGAUGCAUGUGCGCCUUGCUGAUGCCCAGUGCUGACUCACGCAGGAGCUCCAGGAAGCUGCCGCGGAGCGCG
Molecule: long non-coding RNA, 920 nt
Filed under: Coccomyxa subellipsoidea
Lineage: Eukaryota; Viridiplantae; Chlorophyta; Trebouxiophyceae; Coccomyxaceae
Description: long non-coding RNA (CSUB_LNC000375)
Source: RNAcentral